GGGGAGGAGAGGAGGGGAGGAGAGGAGAGGAGGAGAGGAGGAGAGGAGAUGAGGAGAUGAGGAGAGGAGGGGAGGAGAUGAGGAGAGGAGGAGGGGAGGAGAGAGGAGGAUUCCAAAGCUUCGUUACACCUUUGGUCUUUUUAUAGCAGCGUUGAGCGUCAGAAUGGGUUUUCAGACACUAACGACCCGCUGCCAAGCGAGCCGAGCGACCGGAGAGAAUUUAGAACCCUCUGGUGUUCCCUUCUGUGAGUUUGAGUCGAGCAUUUCUGUUUCUCAUUGAGCCCGAGAGAGACACAGAAAUACACACACACACACACACACACACACACACACACACACACACACACACACACACACACACACACACACACACACACACACACACACACACACACACACACACACACACACACACACACACACACACACACACCUACAAGCUGAGCUCUAUUAGUAUUUGAUCCUGCAGGCAGACAGAGAGCUAGUUAGGCUCCUCUCUGUCUCUGUCUCCUGCUAGAUGAGCUGUGUACUUGUGUGUGUGUGUGUGUGUGUGUGUGUACAUGUGUGUGUGUGUGUGAAUGUUAACUGGAGAACAGCUACCUGGGUAGUAUGUUGUUUUUAUGAGCAGAAAUCCACAGGAAGGUGGUUUUAAUUCAACCGAAGAGAGAAUCUGACCCACAUCCACCUGAUAAUACAGUUAAAUCAGUGUUCUACUUUAUGAGUUAUUUUAACUGGAGAGACGAGUUUCUGUGAAGAUGGAUGUUGGUAAUAUGAUAUUUUUAAAAAAUGACGCAUUGGAGGCUAGACAAGUUCACUCUUCAUCAUUUUUGACUUGCAAGGUCUCCAUUUUAGUCUCAGCUGUGAUGCUGGUCGAAAAAGUUUCACAAAAAAGUGAAAUAAAACAUUUUGUUCAGAGUGAGAUUAAAGGUGACCGAAGGAGGGGGGGGGGGGAAGAGUGAGAGAUAACAGAGGAGAGGAAGAGGGAGAGAUAACAGAAGAAACGAAGAGGGAGAGAUAACAGAAGAGAGGAGAGAGGUAACAGAACAGAGGAUAGAGAGAGAGGUAACAGAAGAGAGGAGAGAGGUAGGAGUAGAGAGCAGGAGAGAGGUAACAGAAGAGAGAGAGAGACAACAGAAGAGAGGAGGAGAGAGGUAAUAGUAGAGAGGAUAGAGAGACAACAGAAGAAAGGAGGAGAGAGGUAACAGAAGAGAGGAGAGAGAGAGACAACAGAAGAAAGGAGGAGAGAGGUAAUAGUAGAGAGGAUAGAGAGACAACAGAAGAAAGGAGGAGAGAGGUAACAGAAGAGAGGAGAGAGAGAGACAACAGAAGAGAGGAGGAGAGAGGUAAUAGUAGAGAGGAUAGAGAGACAACAGAAGAAAGGAGGAGAGAGGUAACAGAAGAGAGGAGAGAGAGAGACAACAGAAGAGAGGAGGAGAGAGGUAAUAGUAGAGAGGAUAGAGAGAUAACAGAAGAAAGGAGGAGAGAGGUAACAGAAGAGAGGAGAGAGAGAUAACAGAAGAGAGGAGAAGAGAGGUAACAGAAGAGAGGAUAGAGAGGUAAUAGUAGAGAGGAUAGAGAGGUAACAGAAGAGAGGAGAGAGAGAUAACAGAAGAGAGGAGAAGAGAGGUAACAGAAGAGAGGAGAGAGAGAUAACAGAAGAGAGGAGAGAGAGGUAACAGAAGAGAGGAGAGAGAGAUAACAGAAGAGAGGAGAGAGAGAUAACAGAAGAGAGGAGAAGAGAGUAUGUUUCUAGUCGUAGUUAGCUUGUUGGUGACCUCCUUCCAAAUACUUUUUGCACAUGUAAGGAAGUUAAAACGUAUUUUUUUCCCCCAGACACAGACUAUUUGCUUCCCAAAUGGCACCCUUUUCCCUAUGUAGUACACUUGUUUUGACCGGGACCAUACGGCUCCUGUCAAACGUAGUGCACUGUGUAGAGAAUACGAUGCCAUUUUGGGAGCGUGGAAACUGUCCCCCUCUGCUCAUUCUCUUUGACUUUUCUCCUCCCGUGUUAACAUAUCCAGUGGUUUACUGUGCUCCUCCCAUAUCCAGUGGUUUACUGUGCUCCUCCCAUAUCCAGUGGUUUACUGUGCUCCUCCCAUAUCCUGUGGUUUACUGUGCUCCUCCCAUAUCCAGUGGUUUACUGUGCUCCUCCCAUAUCCAGUGGUUUACUGUGCUCCUCCCAUAUCCAGUGGUUUACUGUGCUCCUCCCAUAUCCAGUGGUUUACUGUGCUCCUCCCAUAUCCAGUGGUUUACUGUGCUCCUCCCAUAUCCUGUGGUUUACUGUGCUCCUCCCAUAUCCAGUGGUUUACUGUGCUCCUCCCAUAUCCAGUGGUUUACUGUGCUCCUCCCAUAUCCAGUGGUUUACUGUGCUCCUCCCAUAUCCAGUGGUUUACUGUGCUCCUCCCAUAUCCAGUGGUUUACUGUGCUCCUCCCUCCCAUGUUAACAUGUCCAGUGGUCUCAAGCCUACAGUAGACAGAGGGGUGUUCGACUCUGGUGAGAUAUAAUGGGUGAUGAUUUCGAUGCAAGGUGAUCGAUAAAUUAUAAUGCGAUUUUUUUUGAGCGCUUGGAACAUUAUUGAAUAUAUUUUCUGUCCUAGUUUUUUGUCCGUAACUCACGUUGAAUUCCCCACAUUCUGAAAUUCUUUAUUUAGAAAACAUUUAUAGAAUUGUUUUUUCCCCCGGUGUAAGAAAUUAAUAUCUACUUUAUUUGAAUUCAUUAAUUAAUGAAUUAAUUAGAUAUUACAUAUAACAGAUUCAGAUAAAUAUUCCUUUCCUGUCUAAGCCACGUUCCCUGUAACAGAUCCUGUAGAGGCUGAUGGCAACAUAGUUGGGUCCCUUUUUUUAUAUUGUAUUUCUAUGUUUUCCAUCUAUCAGUUUUCCAGAGACCUUGUGAAACACGCAGCGUACUCAUAUCAGUAGGACAAUGACUGUCUGCGGGAGCAGCUACCAGUAGAGCCCUCAAAAACCGGUAGAGGAGACAGGACUGGCCCCUCCUGCACCUCGCUGGCAGAACAUGUUAUUGGACCCCCUCUUGGUUGGGGGGGGGGGCCCCUUACCGGCCUCGGGCCCUAAGCAUCUGCUUGUAUGUCUCUUAUUGGCUGGCAAGACAGAUCAGACAUGCAGGACGGAGGUUUUUGCUGUCGACCAAAGGGUUUUGAGAGAAACAAAGGAGUGUACAAAACAUGGACUUAAACAGAAACUGUCAAGAGGAAAAACUGGAAAGCUAAGCAACCUCUGGAAAAAGAGUACAAAGUUAAAGAACAAACAAAACGGUUUUUUUUUUGUACAGAGAUAUAUUUUUAUGGAAAUACAUUUGUAAUAUGAAAAGAGGAGAAAUGGAUUGACAUAUGUGUAAAUGUUUUUUUUUCUUUGUUAUUGUAGUACAGAUUCUAGUGGGG
RNAcentral lists this long non-coding RNA (3398 nucleotides) under Salmo salar (Atlantic salmon). Its description in RNAcentral is "lncRNA (ENSSSAG00000111801.1)". The record is from RNAcentral. Lineage: Eukaryota; Metazoa; Chordata; Actinopteri; Salmoniformes; Salmonidae.